UGCCUUCCCCACCCCAGCAGUGGCCCCUCCCCAUCCCCUCCCUCUGUUCGUCCCGUUUGAUGAGAGGCUGUUUACUGGGGUGGGGUGGCGAGAUGGGCUUGAGGGGGCUCAGAGCAUAAGGCUUCAGGGCCCAAGUUGGGAGAAGUGACCAAAGUGUAGCCAGUUUUCUGAGUUCCCGUGUGCUAGACUGGCCAGAAGAGAGGGUCUGGGGCCUGGUCACUCGGCCACUCUCUCCUGUUUCUGGCCUCUUCUCCCUUCACUCCCGUCCAGUCUGGUUUUGAGAGCAGGGGCUGUUCUGCAGCACCGCAGGGAAGGGAGGAGAGAUACCUGCUGCUUCCAUUGCUUUUCCCUUCCUGGAGUCGAUGCCUUUCUAAGGGUUGGAGCUGCUCCUUGCAGGGGCGGGUCAGUUUCCCAGGCCAUGCCGGGGUGGCCAUCUAUGGUAGGGCUGGAAGCUGAGGCUGGCCGCCAGCUGUGGGCUGGGGUGGGGUGGGUGGGGUCGGGUGGUGGAGAGGCCUUAGCUGUCCUGGCUGGUGCCCCUCCCAGGCUCCUUUUCACCCUGCCCCCUGGGCCUGAGGCCCCCUGUGUCCAAGCCUCCCCCUGGCUCUUCAGUUCUCUAGCCCUUGGCUCUGC
Molecule: long non-coding RNA, 630 nt
Filed under: Homo sapiens (human)
Lineage: Eukaryota; Metazoa; Chordata; Mammalia; Primates; Hominidae
Description: non-protein coding lnc-DOLPP1-3:1
Source: RNAcentral